RNAcentral lists this transfer RNA (72 nucleotides) under Staphylococcus auricularis. RNAcentral's name for it is "tRNA-Gly". It matches the Rfam family "tRNA". From Rfam's summary of the family: Transfer RNA (tRNA) molecules are approximately 80 nucleotides in length. Their secondary structure includes four short double-helical elements and three loops (D, anti-codon, and T loops). Further hydrogen bonds mediate the characteristic L-shaped molecular structure. tRNAs have two regions of fundamental functional importance: the anti-codon, which is responsible for specific mRNA codon recognition, and the 3' end, to which the tRNAs corresponding amino acid is attached (by aminoacyl-tRNA synthetases). tRNAs cope with the degeneracy of the genetic code in two manners: having more than one tRNA (with a specific anti-codon) for a particular amino acid; and 'wobble' base-pairing, i.e. permitting non-standard base-pairing at the 3rd anti-codon position. Lineage: Bacteria; Bacillati; Bacillota; Bacilli; Caryophanales; Staphylococcaceae. The record is from RNAcentral.
GCGGGAGUAGUUCAAUUCUCAGAACAGAUUCUUUCCCGGAAUAAGAUAUAGGUGUAAGUCCUAUCUUCCGCU